GCUUGUCUCAAAGAUUAAGCCAUGCAUGUCUAAGUAUAACUCUUUUACUUUGAAAACUGCGAACGGCUCAUUAUAUCAGUUAUAGUUUCUUUGAUAGUCCCUUACUACUUGGAUACCCGUAGUAAUUCUAGAGCUAAUACAUGCAUCAACUCCCAACUGCUUGUCGGACGGGAUGUAUUUAUUAGAUUGAAACCAAUGCGGGGCAACCCGGUAUUGUGGUGAAUCAUAAUAACUUUGCGGAUCGCAGACCUCGCGUCGGCGACGAAUCAUUCAAGUUUCUGCCCUAUCAGCUUUGGAUGGUAGGGUAUUGGCCUACCAUGGCUCUAACGGGUAACGGAGAAUUGGGGUUCGAUUCCGGAGAGGGAGCCUGAGAGAUGGCUACCACAUCCAAGGAAGGCAGCAGG
This 404-nucleotide ribosomal RNA is filed under the name Monodopsis subterranea. RNAcentral's name for it is "Monodus subterranea partial small subunit ribosomal RNA". It matches the Rfam family "Eukaryotic small subunit ribosomal RNA", at positions 30 to 432 of the family's 1831-position model. The record is from RNAcentral. Lineage: Eukaryota; Eustigmatophyceae; Eustigmatales; Monodopsidaceae.